RNAcentral lists this ribosomal RNA (235 nucleotides) under uncultured bacterium. Its description in RNAcentral is "partial 16S ribosomal RNA". It matches the Rfam family "Bacterial small subunit ribosomal RNA", at positions 99 to 334 of the family's 1533-position model. The record is from RNAcentral.
CGGACGGGUGAGUAACGCGUGGAUAACCUGCCUCACACAGGGGGAUAACAGUUAGAAAUGACUGCUAAUACCGCAUAAGCGCACGGUACCGCAUGGUACAGUGUGAAAAACUCCGGUGGUGUGAGAUGGAUCCGCGUCUGAUUAGGUAGUUGGUGAGGUAACGGCCCACCAAGCCGACGAUCAGUAGCCGACCUGAGAGGGUGACCGGCCACAUUGGGACUGAGACACGGCCCAA